Molecule: ribosomal RNA, 229 nt
Filed under: uncultured bacterium
Lineage: Bacteria
Description: partial 16S ribosomal RNA
Rfam family: Bacterial small subunit ribosomal RNA
Source: RNAcentral
UACGUAGGCGGCUUAUCACAUCUCCUGUUAAAUCCCGAGGCUCAACCUCGGAACUGCGGGAGAGAUGGUUAGGCUAGAGGCCGGGAGAGGCAAGCGGAAUUGCUGGUGUAGGGGUUAAAUCCGUUAAUAUCAGCAGGAACACCAAAUGCGAAGGCAGCUUGCUAGAACGGUCCUGACGCUCAUGUACGAAAGCAUGGGUAGCGAACAGGAUUAGAUACCCUGGUAGUCC